CUUAUGUACGAUGGUAGUCCCUUAAGAUUAGCACCAUAUGGCCUAGGUGUGUAGUGGGCUAUACCAUCUAGGUGUGUGUAAGUACACCCUAUGGUGUUCGCACAACAAUGAAAUCGCCUAAUGACACAGUUCUCAGAACAUAUUCCCAUCGUUAAGCCAUGCGUGACUGUAUUCAGAGUUGUAUUAGCAACUCUCUCUGUCCCUCUCGCCAGUUUGCCACCCACCCUACCCCAGGCCAGUCAUACUGGAUUUGGGGUGGCUGACCCCUUAAUCACACAAAGAUCUGGGAGAGGCUUUGCCAUCGCCAGAUGCAAGAGCCUGUGUUCCCCUUCAAGGCGCCUUCCUCCCCCCUCCUCCUCCCUAGAGGACGGGAGUGGGGUGGGGGACGCCUUCCAAGUUUUCCUCAAUGAGUUUUUAUUACAUUUAUAACCAGAAAAAAUAUUAAAUAAUGUUCUUUGUCAGUGCUCUAGGUCAGUGCUUCUCAAACGUGAGCGUGCUGCGCCUGCCUGUCACCUGGGGAGCUUGUUAAAAUGCGGGUUGUGAUUCGGUAGGUCUGGGGUGGGACAGGAUUCUGCACUUCCACACGCUCCCGGGUGAUGCGAUGCUACUGGCCCAUACCAAGCUUCGAAGAGCAAAGUGAUGGGGGACAAGUGGAGACGGGGUGCACCCUGUGACCUGCCUCGUUGCUCUUCACCGCCCUCACAACCCCAUGUUUCAUAGGUCUUCACAUUUCGCUGAACAUUUAGUGUAACGGUGAUGAAGUUGGAAGAAGGCGGCAUCUACGUAGGCAUCUGGACUAACCACGGCACUUUGGAGGCUGGUUCUUUAGAGAACACAUUCCAAGCUCCAUCUACAAAUAAAAAGUCUGUAUUACGUCUUGUUGGAAAGAAGAGCAGGAAGGCACUGAAGCUACCUCCGUGCACUAUUUGUUUCCUUAUUCAAAACUGCAGAAUUGAGCAGUGCUGGGGUGGAAAGAACACUGACAGGCCUCCAGUCCCACCUGCUCGUGUGAGGCGCUCUGUGGAGCUCCGGAGCUGCGGGGAGAGAGGACUCCCAAGUCCGAGGGGGCCAGGGCUUUUGUGACGUGUCCUGCAGUCUCCCGGAGAGAUGGCUGUGCUUAUCUGGCCUCCAAACAAACCCUUCCAGGGACCGGGGACAACUCCCAGGCAGUGCUUCGUGACUGGGUAGGUGUGAUCGCUCAGGAAUUCUCUCGGAGGACUGGAAAUCUGACUCCCUGGGGCCUUCACCCACUGACCCAAGGUCUAGAGUAGGUGUUUUUGAAGUUCCCUGAUGACAAGUAUCGCCUGGGAGGCUGUUGAAAUUCAACCCAACGCCAACCCAUGUGAAACAGAUCCCCAACCCUUCCUGGAGAUUUGCAUUCAACGGGGCUGAGACGGGCUUGGAAAAGUUGUUUUAAAUAGCCAUGCUUACUCCCACCGGGCAUAGGAAAUCAGGGAGGAGGCAUUUGGAUACAAAGAGUGAUUCCUUUGACUCAAGAGAAAAACCCAUCACUGAAAGUGGCCGGAUAGGCUGGCUUUGAUAUUUGCCAUAUGAGCUGCUAUAAUCUGUGGCCACUCCAGCUUUCUCAUUCUCCUUCCAACACAUCAAGCUUUGUCACACCUCAGAGCCGGCGCACUUACUGCUUCAUCAGACUGGGAUGCUUUCUUCAAGAGCUGUCACCCCACGAGAAUGGGGCCAUCGUCUGCCGGGUGCUGCUGCCCCUCACAGAGGAGAUGCUCAGGAAAAGCUUAUUGAAUGGAUGAGUGGUUUUGUUUUUUGAUUGGUUUUUGCAGACAAGGGGCAUGGGAGACAGAAUUUGUUCCUUUAGGUUUGAAAUAUGUUUCAGCUUUGUCUUCUUCACUACAGGCUCGUCGGUUUGCACAGGAUUCUCAUAUUUAAGUGCAGAUCCCUGCAAGUGCACAAUGGGGGUAAUAAAGGCACCCAUCUCCUGGAGUUUUUAAGGGCACUAAAUGAGAAAUAUGCACAAGGUGCUUCUCACCGUGCCAGGCAGCUGUUUCCGGGAUGCUGUGCGAACUUGAUCUCAGAACCAGCAGCAGAAACACUGGUCUCGUCCGUCCCCUAAGAAAUGAGAAGACUUCCUUCAGGAGUUUGAACUGCUUCUAAGCUUUAACAAUCCUUAUUCUCCUCAAGGCAAUGACCCUCUGGCUGAAAAGGACAAAUUUGAUGUACAAGUGGGAAAAAAGAAAAGCACAUCAAAAUGCUUCAAAACGUUAUCUUGACAUAUUAACUUUCAUAUUAAUUCAAUAACAAGCAACAGUAAAAUAAAUCUUUUAUACAGCUGUUUUGGGAUGCCAAAAAGGCCUCAUAAAUAGGUGGCAUUAUGUAGUACGGUGACCAGAACAAGGAAGGCCAUCUGCCAGUUUUCCAUUGUUCUGUGGCCGGGUUUUGGUUUCACAUUGCACUCGGGUUAUUUAUAAGCUUGAGCUUGUUCAGGUGCAGACGAAGAACAGAGGGGUACUAUAUUGGUCUGUUUGGGCUCCAAUAACAAAAAUACCACUGACUGAGUGGCUUAAAGAACAAAUAUUUUAUUUCCCAGAGCUCUAGAAGCUGGGAAGUCCAAGAUCAAGAGCCGGCAGGUUCGGUGUCUGGUGACUGCCAGCUUCCGGCCUCACAGCCUGCCAUCUUCUUGCUGCGUCCUCACCUGGUGGAAGGCGCAAGGGAGCUCGCUGGGGUCUCUUUUACGAGGGCACUAAUCCCGUUCAUGAGGGCUUCACUCUUAUCUUAGUCAUCUUAUCUUAUCUUAUCACUUAGUCACCUCCCAGAGGUCCCCCCUCCAAAUGCCAUCCCAUUAGAGGUUAGGAUUUGAACAUACAAAUUCCAGGGGGACACAUUCAGUCAUGCAGGUACUGACACCGCAACAGAUGUGGAAUGGGUGAAGAAGCUGUAUGUUUUAGCCUUAAAAAAAAAAACAAAAAAACCUCAGGAGAACAUAUCAGUUGACUUCAAAUAUCUAAAGGUUGUCCUUUCUUAAUAUUUUAAAUAAUACUAACGUGUUUUAGUUUAUAGCACCUCCUGUCCAUUUUGGAUAAGGAUGGGCAGAUAAUACAUUUCCAAACAAACGCGUAUAGUUCGAUUGUUU
Molecule: long non-coding RNA, 3100 nt
Filed under: Equus caballus (horse)
Lineage: Eukaryota; Metazoa; Chordata; Mammalia; Perissodactyla; Equidae
Description: lncRNA (ENSECAG00000045435.1)
Source: RNAcentral